RNAcentral lists this non-coding RNA (87 nucleotides) under uncultured Dialister sp. RNAcentral's name for it is "Glycine riboswitch". It matches the Rfam family "Glycine riboswitch aptamer", at positions 9 to 86 of the family's 94-position model. Rfam says of the family: This family represents the bacterial glycine riboswitch. Lineage: Bacteria; Bacillati; Bacillota; Negativicutes; Veillonellales; Veillonellaceae. The record is from RNAcentral.
ACACUCUGGAGAGUCUCUACAAAUAGAGCGCCGAAGGUGUAAGGAAGGAAAUAUUUUCCCAAUCUCUCAGGCAAAAGGACAGAGAAA